Molecule: long non-coding RNA, 565 nt
Filed under: Nicotiana benthamiana
Lineage: Eukaryota; Viridiplantae; Streptophyta; Magnoliopsida; Solanales; Solanaceae
Description: long non-coding RNA (NBEN_LNC035931)
Source: RNAcentral
AGAUUCCUUAUUCAUCCAACUGAAUCUCUACAACUAAGACACCCAAUUAGUCCACAUAAGAUCAGAACUUCAAACAAAAUCAUAACUAAAUAGACUAACAUAUCCAAAGAAGCUAAUAUCACAAGAUUACAACGUGAAUGACCAUUCAUUAGACAUCAAAAGGCUUGAAUUUGCAUAUCAGUUACAAGGCUUCUCAUGUUGCACUUCACAUUUAAAGAGAUACAAUGAAUACCUGGUGAAAUUAAGCAAAAGAAUUGUAAGUAAACCACAUGUAGGAGAGGAUGAGAUUCAGCAGAUCAACAGCAAUAUAGAAGAACCCGACACUAGCAGAACCAAUUUCAAACCAGAAAAAUAAUGCGAAGUAGUUCAAAAACCAGUCUCAACCGAACAGUAACCACAGCAAACUCCAAACCAAACUUUUAAAACCCAAAUUCAAACCAUUUCAACCCCAGAUGAAUCAUGAAUUGCUUCAGAAGUUGAAAACCUCAAGAGUCACAGAAGAAAUUCAAUGGGACAGUGAUUUUUAUGAAUGUUUUCAACCAUUUUUCAUUUUUCUAAAUUUUUU